GUCAACGGGUGUGGCCUGCAAUUU
Molecule: non-coding RNA, 24 nt
Filed under: Arabidopsis thaliana (thale cress)
Lineage: Eukaryota; Viridiplantae; Streptophyta; Magnoliopsida; Brassicales; Brassicaceae
Source: RNAcentral